This 467-nucleotide ribosomal RNA is filed under the name uncultured bacterium. RNAcentral's name for it is "bacterial SSU rRNA". It matches the Rfam family "Bacterial small subunit ribosomal RNA", at positions 337 to 795 of the family's 1533-position model. The record is from RNAcentral.
UCCUACGGGGGGCAGCAGUAGGGAAUAUUGCGCAAUGGGCGAAAGCCUGACGCAGCGACACCGUGUGAAGGAUGAAGGUCUUCGGAUUGUAAACUUCUGUCAAUUGGGGACGAAGGUACUGGGGUUAAUAGCCUUCAGUAUUGACGGUACCCAAUAAGGAAGUCUCGGCUUACUCCGUGCCAGCAGCCGCGGUAAGACGGGGGAGGCAAGCGUUGUCCGGAAUUAUUGGGCGUAAAGAGCGCGUAGGUGGUUUAUCAAGUCAUUUGUGAAAACUUUAGGCUUAACUUAAAGAUUGCAAGUGAUACUGGUAUACUUGAGCACAGUAGAGGAAAAUGGAAUUCCUGGUGUAGCGGUGAAAUGCGCAGAUAUCAGGAAGAACACCAGUGGCGAAGGCGGUUUUCUGGGCUGUUGCUGACACUGAGGCGCGAAAGCUAGGGGAGCGAACAGGAUUAGAUACCCUUGUAGUC